RNAcentral lists this ribosomal RNA (650 nucleotides) under uncultured bacterium. Its description in RNAcentral is "bacterial SSU rRNA". It matches the Rfam family "Bacterial small subunit ribosomal RNA", at positions 33 to 695 of the family's 1533-position model. The record is from RNAcentral.
ACGCUAGCGGCGGGCUUAAUACAUGCAAGUCAAGGGGUAGCAAUACACCGGCGUACGGGUGCGUAACGCGUAUGGAACCUGCCCUUAUCUGGGGGAUAACUCGGGGAAACUCGAGCUAAUACCGCAUAAGAUAGUAGAAUGGCAUCAUUCAGCUAUUAAAGAUUUAUCGGAUAAGGAUGGCCAUGCGUAAGAUUAGAUAGUUGGCGAGGUAACGGCUCACCAAGUCUACGAUCUUUAGGGGCUCUGAGAGGAGAAUCCCCCACACUGGCACUGAGAUACGGGCCAGACUCCUACGGGAGGCAGCAGUAGGGAAUAUUGGGCAAUGGGCGGAAGCCUGACCCAGCCACGCCGCGUGCAGGAAGACGGCCCUCUGGGUUGUAAACUGCUUUUAACUGGGAAGAAAGCAGCUCAUGCGUGAGAAUUUGACGGUACCAGUUGAAUAAGCCACGGCUAACUACGUGCCAGCAGCCGCGGUAAUACGUAGGUGGCGAGCGUUAUCCGGAUUUAUUGGGUUUAAAGGGAGCGUAGGCGGCUGAUUAAGUCAGCGGUGAAAGGUAGCAGCUUAACUGUUUUACAUGCCGUUGAUACUGGUUAGCUUGAGUUGACAGAAGGCAGAUAGAAUUCCUGGUGUAGCGGUGAAAUGCUUAGAU